This 244-nucleotide long non-coding RNA is filed under the name Hordeum vulgare. Its description in RNAcentral is "long non-coding RNA (HVUL_LNC005858)". The record is from RNAcentral. Lineage: Eukaryota; Viridiplantae; Streptophyta; Magnoliopsida; Poales; Poaceae.
UUCUGAUUAUGAACAAGGUGUUGUUGCUUGAUAACUGGAUCACGUCAUUAUGAGAAUCACGUGAUGGACUAGACCCAAACUAAUAGACGUAGCAUGUUGAUCGUGUCAUUUUGUUGCUACUGUUUUCUGCGUGUCAAGUAUUUGUUCCUAUGACCAUGAGAUCAUAUAACUCACUGACACCGGAGGAAUACUUUGUGUGUAUCAAACGUCGCAACGUAACUGGGUGACUAUAAAGAUGCUCUAC